AGCAGCCGCGGUAAUUCCAGCUCCAAUAGCGUAUAUUAAAGUUGUUGCAGUUAAAAAGCUCGUAGUUGAAUUUCGGGGUCAGUAGAUUGGUCGUGCCACUGGUAUGUACUGGUCUUACUGGCUCCUCCUUCCUGAUGAACCGUAAUGCCAUUAAUUUGGUGUUGCGGGGAGACUGGACUGUUACUUUGAAAAAAUUAGAGUGUUUAAAGCAGGCUAACGCUUGAAUACAUUAGCAUGGAAUAAUAAAAUAGGACGUUCGAUCUUAUUUUGUUGGUUUCUAGGAUUGACGUAAUGAUUAAUAGGGAUAGUUGGGGGCAUUAGUAUUCAAUUGUCAGAGGUGAAAUUCUUGGAUUUAU
This 356-nucleotide ribosomal RNA is filed under the name uncultured Glomeraceae. RNAcentral describes it as "SSU rRNA". It matches the Rfam family "Eukaryotic small subunit ribosomal RNA", at positions 569 to 929 of the family's 1831-position model. The record is from RNAcentral. Lineage: Eukaryota; Fungi; Glomeromycota; Glomeromycetes; Glomerales; Glomeraceae.